UGAUGUUCAAUAGGUAUUUAUUUCUUCAUUGAGGGGCUGAGGCCCCUUACUCUUCACUGUAGAGGCAAGCUUCCUGGCCUGGGCAGGAAAGCAUUGGCCCACAUUUGAGGUUCUGGCAUUAUCUCCCUGGCCUGGUAUCAGGUUGCUCUUCCAAGGUUCCUCUUCCUGACACUUCCCCAAUAUCCCAGCUCCCUUCAAGAGUGAAGGGUUAAACCACUUCCUUCCCCUGGCCCUGCUGGCCUCUACCACUCCUGCCAAUCUCCCAGGCCACAGCUGACGCCUGCCAAGGUAGACUUUUAAAGCCAUUCCCCAAAUACUAGCAGGGGCUAUGUACUCCUCAAGGAAGGCUUGACCACAUCAUCUGGAAACACUGCUUUGCUGAUGGCACAGCUUAGAUCUGUGGCCAUAUAAGCUUGUCAAAAUGGCAUUCCCCCCUCCGCCUGAGUUAAAUGUCUCACUCCAUCACAGCGGACCUGGAACACUGGUUAUAUAUGGCUGCAUAACAAACCACCCCAAGCCUAAUGACAUCAUAAACAGUAAUCAUGUAUCAUCUCAUGGUUUAGGUGAGUCAGGAAUUCAGACGGGCACAGGGAGGAUGUCUUACCUCUGCUCCAUGAUGUCUGGGGCCUCAACUGGAGCACAUGAGGGCUGAGGGACUGAAGUCAUCUGAAGGCUUGACCAGGGCUGGAGGAUAUGCUCUUAAGUUGGUUCACUCAUAUGCCUCAUGAGUUAGUGCUGGCAAUUUUGUUCCUCUCCAUGUGGGCCUCUACACAGGGCUACUGGAGUGGUGUAUGAGUUUGCUAGAACUGCCAUAACAAAGCACCGCAGACCAGGUGGCUUAAACAAUGGAAAUAUAUUUUCUCACAGUACUGGAAGCUAGAAGUCUAAGAUCAAGAUCAACCCUCUUCAGUGUGGCAGGAUGCCACAAGACAACGUUUGUUCUGGGAAGUGAGGAUCUGGGAGGGCAGCCUAGAAAUGAGCUACUACCACACGUGGGCACACAAAUGCCUCCCACAUUUACCACACACAGGAAGAGCAACCCGCCCUGAAAGAGAAAGCCCAGAAGGCACAAAGCCUCUUCUUGUGCUCAGCAGCAAGGCAGGUGGCUCCAGAGGCAUAUGGAGAAAGAAGGUGGCCACAUACUUCUCAAUCUACCAUCUCUGGGGAAAAGAAGUUUUACUCCCUCCAUGGAAACCUGGGGCUAGCAUCCCAGAUGUAAAGAGAGGUUCCAGUCUACUCCUGGGUUUGCUCCGCCUACCCUCUUGUACAACUGCACGGUGCCCCUACAGUGGACACCGCCGAGGGAACACAGAUGGAAAAGAUGAGUAAGAUACCUGCCGUGCACAAGUAGCUUACAGUGCACAUGGCACAGAACAAGUGCA
This 1382-nucleotide long non-coding RNA is filed under the name Homo sapiens (human). RNAcentral's name for it is "HSALNT0343502". Lineage: Eukaryota; Metazoa; Chordata; Mammalia; Primates; Hominidae. The record is from RNAcentral.